UUAACACAUGCAAGUCGAGCGGUAACAGGGGUAGCUUGCUACCCGCUGACGAGCGGCGGACGGGUGAGUAAUGCAUAGGAAACUGCCCAGUAGUGGGGGAUAGCCCGGGGAAACCCGGAUUAAUACCGCAUACGUCCUUCGGGAGAAAGCAGGGGAUCUUCGGACCUUGCGCUAUUGGAUGUGCCUAUGUCGGAUUAGCUGGUUGGUGAGGUAAUGGCUCACCAAGGCGACGAUCCGUAGCUGGUCUGAGAGGAUGAUCAGCCACAUCGGGACUGAGACACGGCCCGAACUCCUACGGGAGGCAGCAGUGGGGAAUAUUGGACAAUGGGGGCAACCCUGAUCCAGCCAUGCCGCGUGUGUGAAGAAGGCUUUCGGGUUGUAAAGCACUUUCAGUGAGGAGGAAAAGUUAGUCCUUAAUACGGGCUAGCCUUGACGUUACUCACAGAAGAAGCACCGGCUAACUCCGUGCCAGCAGCCGCGGUAAUACGGAGGGUGCAAGCGUUAAUCGGAAUUACUGGGCGUAAAGCGCGCGUAGGUGGUUUGAUAAGCGAGAUGUGAAAGCCCCGGGCUUAACCUGGGAACGGCAUUUCGAACUGUCAGGCUAGAGUGUGGUAGAGGGUAGUGGAAUNUCCUGUGUAGCGGUGAAAUGCGUAGAUAUAGGAAGGAACACAGUGGCGAAGGCGGCUACCUGGACCACACUGACACUGAGGUGCGAAAGCGUGGGGAGCNAACAGGAAUAGAUACCCUGGUGUUCACGCCGUAACGAUGUCACCUGCCGUGGGGAUCUGAAUCUUAGUGGCCAGCUACGCACUAAU
Molecule: ribosomal RNA, 815 nt
Filed under: Marinobacter sp. D102-C11
Lineage: Bacteria; Pseudomonadati; Pseudomonadota; Gammaproteobacteria; Pseudomonadales; Marinobacteraceae
Description: bacterial SSU rRNA
Rfam family: Bacterial small subunit ribosomal RNA
Source: RNAcentral